CUGGCCGAGCUCCAUGUGAGGCAGUCCCAGGGCACACGGGCCUCGCGGUGGCCCAAGGACGUCGGGCGGAAGUCGCGCCGAGCUACUUCCCUGUCUACGCCAAGGACGCCCAACGCAGAGAAGAGGAUGCCCACCAGCGACGUCCCGUGCUGCGACCGCCACGCGAAGAAGGCUGACGGCAUGCCCCGCUCCGAUAUGCCCAACAGCUGGGACCGGGAAAAAGACAUGGGACAAAUAGAAGACAUCUAA
RNAcentral lists this unclassified non-coding RNA (249 nucleotides) under Zea mays. RNAcentral describes it as "misc RNA Zm00001eb369220". Lineage: Eukaryota; Viridiplantae; Streptophyta; Magnoliopsida; Poales; Poaceae. The record is from RNAcentral.